AUACUCGUGUUUCUCUUCAUCAUCUAAUGUAUCUUUUGCCUUUUACUAAAGAUUCAUCUGGGGAGGGAAAAGCAUGACUGCUGCUACAAUUUUUUGAGGCCUUCUGGGGAU
Delphinapterus leucas (beluga whale) is the source of this 111-nucleotide small nuclear RNA. Its record names the gene U5. It matches the Rfam family "U5 spliceosomal RNA". Rfam says of the family: U5 RNA is a component of both types of known spliceosome. The precise function of this molecule is unknown, though it is known that the 5' loop is required for splice site selection and p220 binding, and that both the 3' stem-loop and the Sm site are important for Sm protein binding and cap methylation. The record is from Ensembl. NCBI's taxonomy places the organism in Eukaryota, Metazoa, Chordata, Mammalia, Artiodactyla, Monodontidae.